GACUUCUGAGAUACAAAUGUCAGACUGACAGUAGUGACUCAGAAGCAGAAAUUCAAAAAAUGCACUUGCUGUAAAUUCUGCUACACUGCCCAGGGCACUUCUUGGUCUGUAUGUGUAACAUGUAUUCAGCUAUUGUAAAGUUUCUUUAACAGUCCUGGAAGUACUAUGACAGUAACAAGGAAGAUUGAUAGCAGAUUCCAUGCCUCUUUGUUAAUCACAUUAAGAACUCUGCUUGGUACUCUUUGAUGUUGUGUCUGGAAACAUACAUCCCCACCACACCAUAUUGAAAACUUUCAUCCUAUUACCCAUCUGCUGCCAGCAAAUGAUCAGUUUAAAGGCAAAAAAUGGGUGAUGGGGGUGUGAAAGUCAAAGAUUUGCCAAGCAUACCGUUUUUCUACUACUCAUUCUUCUAAUUACCUUUUGGGAAAUGAGAGAACCUAACCAUAUAACAUUUUGAAAUGUUUCCUUAGGGAAUCUGAAUAAUAUUUUAUGUAGCUUGAGUUACAUGAUAAUGACAAGCAUGUCUUCAAACAUUAGAAUUAAACCCAUGGAUGUGGCAUAGUGCCUGUUGUUUUUCAUCAUAAGAGUUUAUGAUAAAACUGAGUACUGGAGUCUGCAGUUUAUAAAAAGAUGUUUCCUUCUAUUUAGCUGGAGGAGUUUCUUAUACUGGUGGAUUGGUUCCCAGCGCCUACAGUCAGAUAAAUAAAAAGUUGCAGCAGGGGGACCAACUAGUAGGGAGUACAUUUCAUCGGUUGGAGAGAGGAAAUUUAUUUCUUCAAUUACUUUAGAACAUCUGCAUGUUACAAAGAGGAAUGUGCAUUAACACAAUUAACCAUUUCUUUUUUUUAAUUGAAUUCAUGGAUUCAUUCCUAAGUUUUCUAAUCAGUUUUGCUCUGGUGUCAUAAGUUAAGGGAGAAUCAAUACCAAACUAAUUUUCCUGCAUAAAGAGAUUACUUGGAUAAUAGAUUUUUUCCAGUGCUUUUGGAAAUAUUGAGUCUAAUAAAAUAACUCUAACAGAGAUACAAUUAUUCAUAUCAGUAAGUUGUUCAUCAGAAAUAUUUCACAAAGACUAGACCUGAAUCUAAAUUGGAGGCAAAAUCAUUCAAUUCAAUAGAGCAGUUGCACUUUUCUCAUAUAGUAAAAUGACCAGUUGCACCUAGUAAACAGUACAGCACAACCCCUAAGUGCAGGGGAUCUGGAGGCAAAACAUGAGGGUCAAAGCCUCACUGUACCACUUUCCAGCUGUGUAAUCUUGGGAAAGAUUCUUCAUCUGUAAAAUGAUGCUUAAAAGCUAUACCUGACUUUUAGGAUUGUUGUAAACAUUAAAUUUGUAAAUGAGAAUGAUCUUAUAACUGUACAUGUUAACCAUUGUUUAAACCUAUAUGAAUAAAAUUCUAGAUGAGUCA
Molecule: long non-coding RNA, 1406 nt
Filed under: Homo sapiens (human)
Lineage: Eukaryota; Metazoa; Chordata; Mammalia; Primates; Hominidae
Description: non-protein coding LINC02172:5
Source: RNAcentral